GGUGUACUUGCUGCAGCAUAUGGAGGACUAUUGCUACCAGUUCAUCUAGCCUCCUGUGAACCCGUCGCAUCAUCAAUUGCAACACUCAACCAGCUGCCUAUUGAGAGAACCAAGUUAAGACCAUGGUUAGAGUCUCUGACGUUGCUCGUUAGAGCAAUGCUGGAUGUAACCAAAUGUAUAAUUAAAUUUGAAAGACUUCCAAUUAAACAAGUGCAGCUAGACAACAACAUUGUGGAUAAAACCUUGUUUAAUGUUUAUUUGGCUACUUACCGGGUAGUCAAAAGUGUGCUUGCAUGCCUGCAGCAAAUCCCUUAUUUCAAGCAAACCCAGCAGGUGCAUUUUAUCCACCCUUCUUUUAUCUCCCUUGAAAAAUUAAAUUGGAAGAGCCGCAGAGAAAUAGUUUAGCAUAUUAGUAGUCAACAUGUAGGUUUCUCAUGGCAAGGAAUUCUCUGAUAUACUUAGGCAACAGAAACAAGAAAAUCAGCCCAUGAACUUUCAACGGAAUCAAGAAGAGCAGCAGGAGAACUUUCUAGUUUGGGAUAUCAGUUGCUCAACUUACAUACCCGCCUUAACAAGCAGGUAGACGAUUGCAGCACACAAAUAGGUAACUUUUUCAAAUAUUCUGAUGUCCAUUUCCAAAAGCAGAGCUUAUAUUAAAAGCAAAACUCAUCUCUGAUGAUGCUUCUCCGUUGUUAUGUCUACAGAGGAAGAAAUCAAUCGAAAGCUUAGAAACAUUAACACAGGCACCCAUCAAGACAACCAAGACGUACUCCACCUACUUUUUUCUCUACAAGAUGAUUUGCCACUUCAACAAUACUCCAGACAAGUACAAAGAACUAUCCUUUUUCUUUUUUCAUGUUCCUUUCUUGUUUCUUUCUUUUUCCUGUCUCUUCUAUUACUUUACAUAAAAAUGAGGUACAAAGAAUGUUCUUUAUCAUCCAACGACAGAUAGCAAUAACUGAGCUGAAAGAAAAAGUAAUACUGCUGCUACUAUCAAAACCACCAGUAGAGCCACUAUUCUUCCUGCUUCAACAGUUAUAUGAUCAUCCAUCGGACACCAACACAGAACAAAACUACGAAAUCAUAUGGAUUCCGAUACCAUCCUCCCAAAAAUGGACAGACGAAGAGAAAGAAAUCUUUGAUUUCUACUCCAAUUCCUUACCGUGGAUCUCAGUAAGGCAGCCAUGGUUGAUGAGCUCCACAAUAGUUAACUUUUUCAUUCGAGAAUGGCAAUAUGGAGACCACGAGGCA
Molecule: long non-coding RNA, 1251 nt
Filed under: Capsella grandiflora
Lineage: Eukaryota; Viridiplantae; Streptophyta; Magnoliopsida; Brassicales; Brassicaceae
Description: long non-coding RNA (CGRA_LNC000740)
Source: RNAcentral